UAAAGACGGCGAUCUUCUCUGUUAUCCAAUUCAAGCUGCUGAGCUAUUUUUAUUGAUGUUGAUAAGGAGUCAAUAUUCUUCUUCUGAAUACAAAUUCUGCAUUGACAAGUAAGGCUAUGAAUGCAUGUCAGAAAUCAGAAAUCCUUAUUAAGUUACAGAACUUUUAUUUACGCAAAUCGGUUCUGAUGAUUCGAGAGCAACUUCUAGUGAAUCAAGGUAAAAGAGGUCAGGGCCUGGAUCAGAAGUUACCUUUUUCACUGAAUUCUGAGAGCUACCAUACCUUGAUCUACAUACACUUCCUGCUUCACUGCAGAACAGUGACACUGAUCUAGUUGAUUUCUUUCUUUGUUUUCUGAACUUUUUGCAACCCCAAAAAAGGGCAAUUGCACACAAUGCAGUUGAAAUCCCAGCAGAAACAAGAACAGCUGCUAAAACUCUAGUACUACUUCCUCUUCUUUUUUCCCUUGCCUUGUGUGCAGAUGGGAUAAAGGGAUGGUGAUGAGAAUGUGGAUGAGAAUGUCGAUGAACUCGUGGCGCCGGAGAAGGAGCAGGAGCUUCAGGGGCAAUUGAUGGUGAUGGAGAAGGUGAAGGGGCUUCUGGAAAAUAUGCAAAAUCACCAUUUCUUGGACUGAACCUGCUUAGUCCAAGCAAAGUUCUGAACUUUUCCACAAUCAAGAUUUGCUUUCCUCCAGAGAUCUUUCUAAUUGGACUUUCUUUAAAGCCAUCAAUACUAUUCAAGUACUUUGCAGCAUUCAAUGAGACAUCCCUAACCAAAAUGUGAGUACAGCAGAAAGAUACAAGAAUGAAGGUGAUGAUAAAGAGAAAGUGUAAAAGAAUCCUAAAACCAUGAUGACCCAUUUUCUUGAAUACAAAAUCAUGAAAGAAAUCAUCAACCUUUAUGAAAUAUAAAUUCAACCCAACAUUCUUUUUUUUUUUUCUUUGUGAUUAAAAUUGUAGUGCACCAAAGAGAAAGACCAAAGUCUUUAUUGCUACUCCAAGGAACCCCUGACUGUGGCAGUUGUAGGUGUACUGGACCUUCUUUAUUUUCUUUCUCUGUUAUUACCUCUUUUCUCUCUCCAUUAAUUCUCCCUGCUGAAUACUAUUAAUAGUAGUACAUCAUUUCUCAUUA
This is a long non-coding RNA of Solanum dulcamara, 1129 nucleotides long. RefSeq lists it as uncharacterized. The record is from RefSeq and is a predicted model, not a curated record. The transcript has 2 exons. NCBI's taxonomy places the organism in Eukaryota, Viridiplantae, Streptophyta, Magnoliopsida, Solanales, Solanaceae.